Long non-coding RNA from Aedes aegypti (yellow fever mosquito), 1776 nucleotides. RefSeq lists it as uncharacterized. The transcript has 2 exons. The record is from RefSeq and is a predicted model, not a curated record. NCBI's taxonomy places the organism in Eukaryota, Metazoa, Arthropoda, Insecta, Diptera, Culicidae.
UAUAACAUUUGAAUGUAUACUUCCAAUUCCGAUCUAGUUAGGAAAAACUAUCAAAAAAAUCAUGUUCAAAGCAAAGAAGUCUAAUAUGGUUUGCAAUAACUUCUCACUCUUAAAGUUCGACAACUCAAACUAUAACUUUUAAAAGAAAGUUCGAUGCAGUGAUGCAAACAUAUACAUAUUUGGGUGUUGACAUUGUUUUUUUUUGUAUUCUACAAGAGGUAAAUUUUGAAAGGAUUAUUAAGUUAUUUAAAAAAAAAAGAUGGACAUGUUUAAAUGGUAAAUUAAGAAACAUUAAUAAUUCAAAAAUUUUUAAAAUUGUAAAAGGCUCGAAAUUUAGGCAAUUGUUUUCUUAUGGCAAUAAUGGCUUUAUUUUUUUGUUACGUUUGAAUAUAGCUUGCACCCCUGUGCAGUGUCGGAGUCAAGGUACCUUUAGGUACAGGUACAACAAUCUAAGCAGUCAGUGGAUGCGGGGAGUGGUAAACAGCGAGGGGAGGAAAAUGACAGCUGGUGAGUCGGCGAGCUGGCGAGUUUGUUAAUACAAUUUUCCCCUCCAUAGGUUGCUAUCGUCUCCAUAGUGCCGUAAUGUUUAUUAUUACGUGUUGAAAAUUCAAAAGGAACAUUUUCUGCAGAUACCAACGACAGUUUCAGAGUACAGAUGCUGUGAUUCCACCACGCGAGAAAUAUAUUGGAAAUAAAACAAAUUCCUAAUGUGAGGAUAACACAGACGAUUGCGUAGCGCAGCUCAUGAUUCGUUCGGCUCAAAAAGGACAAUUUCAAUUACGGAGGAUAUUCUGUACCUACUACAGAAAACCAAAUAAAUUCAUCAAUUUCAGAUGCUUCUUCACAACGUGCGUUUUGAAGAUGGGAAUUGGAGCAAAACAAGUAUUUUCUAUUAUGGAGAGUUGUGCUAUUCCCGUGUAGUUCCAGUGAUACAGUGACACAAUUCAUAAUGUGUCGAAAGUGUAUGAAUAAAAACUUUAUGCUAGAAAAGAAACUUAAAGUUACCAGAAUUGUUUGAAUGAGCACACCUUCAUUAUAUUUUUAUUCAAAAGCCAGAGGUUGAGGAAAAAUCCUUAUUCUCUUUAUGUCGACGAUAGAUAGCUGAAAAAAUGACGAAUGCGAUUUUCAUUUAUGUUUCCUGUGACUUUUUCCAACCUUAUUCUCAUGUUGUCAUCAUAAUGAAUUAUUUCUUUUGAUUUUAAUAUUAAUCAAAAUUUUACACAUGGUUGUUGAUUGACGUUCACGAAACAAAAUAAAAAUUGAGGGGAAAAAGUUGCUAGGAUCUCAAGGCUUGCUGACCUGAUGGAGCAACACAAACUUGCCAGCUGUCAAAUAUUUUUCCAAUAUGGCGGAAUGCUCUAAAUGACAGAUUACAUUACCUCCCUUAUAAAUACCUUGGUCGGAGUAAUUUGUGUUGAUGUCUAUUGUUCGUAAUUUAUGUUUCUCUGUCAUGCCCCGUUCUGUCAACCAAGUCUCAUGAGAGAAUUAGUGAAAGCAAGAGACAUAACGGGCGCAUGGAAUUGGUUCUGUUCCAAUGUGGAGAAAUCACCGUAACUGUAAGUGUUUUGUACGUUUUAUUUAUAUUAAAAUGCUCAAUAAUGAAUUUAAUAGCUUUGUAGCAUGCGGCAAAUCAGCUUUUUAUAUGCCCUGCUGAAAGAUCGGUGCCCAAAUCAAUCCUGUUUUAAAUAUGUUUUUUCUUAUUGAUAUUGGAUAGAUUCCCGAUUUUUUUUUAGUCAAUUUAUAAAUAAAAAAUAACUUAUAAUAGCUCCAUUUAUU